Non-coding RNA from Oncorhynchus mykiss (rainbow trout), 1069 nucleotides. The record is from RefSeq and is a predicted model, not a curated record. Lineage: Eukaryota; Metazoa; Chordata; Actinopteri; Salmoniformes; Salmonidae.
UAGGUUAGUAGAUAGGUGAGGUAAAGGACCUGCCUGGUGUGGGUUGAUUCAGACCUUUAGGUUAGUAGAUAGGUGAGGUAAAGGACCUGCCUGGUGUGGGUUGAUUCAGACCUUUAGGUUAGUAGAUAGGUGAGGUAAAGGACCUACCUGGUGUGGGUUGAUUCAGACCUUUAGGUUAGUAGAUAGGUGAGGUAAAGGACCUGCCUGGUGUGGGUUGAUUCAGACCUUUAGGUUAGUAGAUAGGUGAGGUAAAGGACCUGCCUGGUGUGGUUGAUUCAGACCUUUAGGUUAGUAGAUAGGUGAGGUAAAGGACCUACCUGGUGUGGGUUGAUUCAGACCUUUAGAUAGGUGAGGUAAAGGACCUGCCUGGUGUGGUUGAUUCAGACCUUUAGGUUAGUAGAUAGGUGAGGUAAAGGACCUGCCUGGUGUGGGUUGAUUCAGACCUUUAGGUUAGUAGAUAGGUGAGGUAAAGGACUUGCCUGGUGUGGGUUGAUUCAGACCUUUAGGUUAGUAGAUAGGUGAGGUAAAGGACCUGCCUGGUGUGGGUUGAUUCAGACCUUUAGGUUAGUAGAUAGGUGAGGUAAAGGACCUGCCUGGUGUGGGUUGAUUCAGACCUUUAGGUUAGUAGAUAGGUGAGGUAAAGGACCUGCCUGGUGUGGGUUGAUUCAGACCUUUAGGUUAGUAGAUAGGUGAGGUAAAGGACCUGCCUCGUGUGGUUGAUUCAGACCUUUAGGUUAGUAGAUAGGUGAGGUAAAGGACCUGCCUGGUGUGGGUUGAUUCAGACCUUUAGGUUAGUAGAUAGGUGAGGUAAAGGACCUGCCUGGUGUGGGUUGAUUCAGACCUUUAGGUUAGUAGAUAGGUGAGGUAAAGGACCUGCCUGGUGUGGUUGAUUCAGACCUUUAGGUUAGUAGAUAGGGGAGGUAAAGGACCUUCCUGGUGGGGUUGAUUCAGACCUUUAGGUUAGUAGAUAGGUGAGGUAAAGGACCUGCCUGGUGUGGGUUGAUUCAGACCUUUAGGUUAGUAGAUAGGUGAGGUAAAGGACCUGCCUGGUGUGGGUUGAUUCAGACCU